Long non-coding RNA from Aethina tumida (small hive beetle), 278 nucleotides. RefSeq lists it as uncharacterized. NCBI's taxonomy places the organism in Eukaryota, Metazoa, Arthropoda, Insecta, Coleoptera, Nitidulidae. The record is from RefSeq and is a predicted model, not a curated record. The transcript is spliced from 3 exons.
AUUAAAUUAAGUGUGCUUAUAGAAUCCGGACACUUGGACUUAACGUCCCCAGUUCGACCUUUCUCUUACACGACCAAAGAUUAGAAUGAUGUAGGGAACAACACCUUUAGAAUGUGAAAUAGAAUGACGUCUUCAGACGUUGUUUGAUCAGACAUGGCAUUCACUAUUUUGUAUGAAGAGGUCUAUACAACGAACAACUAGUUAGUAGUACGGGUUUCCAAAAGAUUCAAAUAUGACAAAUAGACACAUGGUCUCCUUCCUAGAAAAUCUAAAUGUUC